This 76-nucleotide transfer RNA is filed under the name Actinomycetes bacterium. RNAcentral describes it as "Actinobacteria bacterium tRNA-Val". It matches the Rfam family "tRNA". Rfam says of the family: Transfer RNA (tRNA) molecules are approximately 80 nucleotides in length. Their secondary structure includes four short double-helical elements and three loops (D, anti-codon, and T loops). Further hydrogen bonds mediate the characteristic L-shaped molecular structure. tRNAs have two regions of fundamental functional importance: the anti-codon, which is responsible for specific mRNA codon recognition, and the 3' end, to which the tRNAs corresponding amino acid is attached (by aminoacyl-tRNA synthetases). tRNAs cope with the degeneracy of the genetic code in two manners: having more than one tRNA (with a specific anti-codon) for a particular amino acid; and 'wobble' base-pairing, i.e. permitting non-standard base-pairing at the 3rd anti-codon position. RNAcentral also lists the same sequence under 1 other name. The record is from RNAcentral. Lineage: Bacteria; Bacillati; Actinomycetota; Actinomycetes.
GGGCGCGUAGCUCAGUUGGAAGAGCGCCUCCCUUACAAGGAGGAUGUCGGGGGAUCGAGGCCCUCCGUGCCCACCC